GUGACUUUGAACUAGCUAACUUUAGCUAACUAUCAUAUAUUUCGAUAUGCUAGGUGGCUAGGUAUGUAGCCAUGUUAGCUAGCUAAGCUAGUUAGCCUGCAGGACUAGCCUCUUGCAAUGCAGUCGGAGUUAGCAACGUUUUGUAGCUUGCCGGCUAAUGACAGGCUAACUGUCUCAACGACCCAGACUCAACAUAACUCCCGGGACUUUGAACUAGCUACCUAUUAAACCUUUUAGUUAGCUUAUCUAGAGAACACAGUUUGUCAGUUAACUUAUUGCAUCUUUGUGAAUUAUGAGAAUUGUACACAACUGGCUCAGGUCUCUCUAGUGAAAUGCUAACAAGACAUAGCAUUCAUUGUUACGAAGUUAUAUGGUUACUAUCUUCGGUGGUGUGUUUAUUGUGUGAGAGGGACGGCAGGUUUGUGUGUGUGUGUGUGUGUGUGAAAGAGAGGGACGGCAGGUGUGUAUUUAUUGUGUGUAUACCUGUGUCCUUAGUUCCCGUGGGUAAGAGAGAUGGCAGGUGUGUAUUUAUUGUGUGUAUACCAGGUGUGUGUGUACCAGGUGUGUAUUUAUUGUGUGUAUACCAGGUGUGUGUGUACCAGGUGUGUAUUUAUUGUGUGUAUACCAG
This 628-nucleotide long non-coding RNA is filed under the name Salmo salar (Atlantic salmon). RNAcentral's name for it is "lncRNA (ENSSSAG00000095370.1)". Lineage: Eukaryota; Metazoa; Chordata; Actinopteri; Salmoniformes; Salmonidae. The record is from RNAcentral.